Molecule: ribosomal RNA, 1346 nt
Filed under: uncultured bacterium
Lineage: Bacteria
Description: partial 16S ribosomal RNA
Rfam family: Bacterial small subunit ribosomal RNA
Source: RNAcentral
GACGAACGCUGGCGGCGUGCUUAACACAUGCAAGUCGAACGGAAAGGCCCUGCUUUUGUGGGGUGCUCGAGUGGCGAACGGGUGAGUAACACGUGAGUAACCUGCCCUUGACUUUGGGAUAACUUCAGGAAACUGGGGCUAAUACCGGAUAGGAGCUCCUGCUGCAUGGUGGGGGUUGGAAAGUUUCGGCGGUUGGGGAUGGACUCGCGGCUUAUCAGCUUGUUGGUGGGGUAGUGGCUUACCAAGGCUUUGACGGGUAGCCGGCCUGAGAGGGUGACCGGCCACAUUGGGACUGAGAUACGGCCCAGACUCCUACGGGAGGCAGCAGUGGGGAAUAUUGCACAAUGGGCGGAAGCCUGAUGCAGCAACGCCGCGUGCGGGAUGACGGCCUUCGGGUUGUAAACCGCUUUCGCCUGUGACGAAGCGUGAGUGACGGUAAUGGGUAAAGAAGCACCGGCUAACUACGUGCCAGCAGCCGCGGUGAUACGUAGGGUGCGAGCGUUGUCCGGAUUUAUUGGGCGUAAAGGGCUCGUAGGUGGUUGAUCGCGUCGGAAGUGUAAUCUUGGGGCUUAACCCUGAGCGUGCUUUCGAUACGGGUUGACUUGAGGAAGGUAGGGGAGAAUGGAGUUCCUGGUGGAGCGGUGGAAUGCGCAGAUAUCAGGAGGAACACCAGUGGCGAAGGCGGUUCUCUGGGCCUUUCCUGACGCUGAGGAGCGAAAGCGUGGGGAGCGAACAGGCUUAGAUACCCUGGUAGUCCACGCUGUAAACGGUGGGUACUAGGUGUGGGGCCCAUUCCACGGGUUCCGUGCCGUAGCUAACGCUUUAAGUACCCCGCCUGGGGAGUACGGCCGCAAGGCUAAAACUCAAAGGAAUUGACGGGGCCCCGCACAAGCGGCGGAGCAUGCGGAUUAAUUCGAUGCAACGCGUAGAACCUUACCUGGGUUUGACAUGGAUCGGGAGUGCUCAGAGAUGGGUGUGCCUCUUUUGGGGUCGGUUCACAGGUGGUGCAUGGCUGUCGUCAGCUCGUGUCGUGAGAUGUUGGGUUAAGUCCCGCAACGAGCGCAACCCUUGUUCACUGUUGCCAGCACGUUAUGGUGGGGACUCAGUGGAGACCGCCGGGGUCAACUCGGAGGAAGGUGGGGAUGACGUCAAGUCAUCAUGCCCCUUAUGUCCAGGGCUUCACGCAUGCUACAAUGGCUGGUACAGAGAGUGGCGAGCCUGUGAGGGUGAGCGAAUCUCGGAAAGCCGGUCCCAGUUCGGAUUGGGGUCUGCAACUCGACCUCAUGAAGUCGGAGUCGCUAGUAAUCGCAGAUCAGCAACGCUGCGGUGAAUACGUUCCCGGGGCU